This 250-nucleotide unclassified non-coding RNA is filed under the name uncultured Coniochaeta. RNAcentral describes it as "sequence contains ITS2". The stretch from base 1 to 52 matches the Rfam family "5.8S ribosomal RNA", at positions 103 to 154 of the family's 154-position model. Lineage: Eukaryota; Fungi; Ascomycota; Sordariomycetes; Coniochaetales. The record is from RNAcentral.
AACGCACAUUGCGCCCGGCAGUACUCUGCCGGGCAUGCCUGUUCGAGCGUCAUUUCAACCCUCAAGCCCUGCUUGGUGUUGGGGUCCCACGGCCGCCGUGGGCCCUGAAAGGAAGUGGCGGGCUCGCUACAACUCCGAGCGUAGUAAUUCAUUAUCUCGCUUAGGGCGUUGGGCGGCGCUCCUGCCGUUAAAGAACCAUCUUUAACUCAAGGUUGACCUCGGAUCAGGUAGGAAUACCCGCUGAACUUAA